UGUGAUCGACGUGCGGUGUCGCAGUUACAAGUUUUGGCUUUCGAUCGGAAAUCAUAUUUAGACAAGCAUCGAGGUUUCAUUUUUAAAACGUUAAUUAACUUUGCAGUCAUUUGUUCGUCGAUCGAACAUCGAUCCAUGUUUGUUUCUUUUCCCUUUUUCUUUUCCCUUUUUCUUUUUCCUUUUUUUUCUUCACUUCACUUUCUCAAGCGUUCUACGUAUCAUCUAAAUCGCGUCGUCAAUUGUGAAAAAAGUUAUUAGGCCAUAUUGCAUAUUUCUUCUUUUCGUGUCCCAAUUACAUUUUCUUUUUUCUCAAUCCGCUUUUUCUCCAAUCCCCUUUAAAUAAUUUUUCUUCCCAUUUCAGCGCGCUAAAAUCGAAAAUUCUCAUUGUUUCAUUGAUUUGAAUACGCGGUUUCUAAAUAGUAGCUUGAAAUUACGAUCAACAAUGACAUGGUGGUGAAAUAUACAUUAUGUAUAUAUAGAAAACAAUAUGCCGCGGAACGAUGUUCAGUCUUGAAGAAAUGUAACUGCAGCGAUUAAAUUGAUCUGUUUUGUAUAUGUGUCUGUAUGUAUAUACGUAUGUAUGCAUGUGUGUAUGCGUGUUUGUUUGUGUGUGUGUGUGUGUGUGUAAAACCGGAUGGGCUUAAGCUUAAUCCAGAGCGGAUGGCUCGUGUAGCAUUACAAAUGCUGUACAAUUAUUUAAAUCGUAUCGCUUACCAUAAGAAACGGAUUCACGAUUAUAAAACGCUAUUUUGACGCAGAUGAAACUCGAUGAUUUCGUUUAAACAAUCGCAGCUCUACAUGAUUUCUCUACAUUAUAGUUCUUAUUAUUCUCUGUGUGUAUGUGUUUCUUCUUCAUCGUCGUUUUUUUUUAUUCUCUGCUUUAUUAUUAUUUCUUCUCUCUCUCUCUCUCUCGCUCUCUUCUCUCUUCUUCUUCUAUCUCUCUCUCUCUCUCUCCCUCUCUUUCGCUCUCUACAAUCUCGCAUAUAUUGACUUUUAUCGAUUGAUUGGAAAAUUAUCUCGCGUGUAAGAAGAAGUUCGCGACGAUGAGGAAAUUUCCUUUAUUAAACGCGAACGAUAUUCACGAGAUUAAGAUUUUCGAAUUUACAAUCGAUCGAUUCUCGUCUCGAUCUCUCAUCCAUCUCGAAUCGAUCUCGAAUCGAUCCUACGUCAUCGUCGCGAUUUUCUUCUUCGGUCGCAGCGCAGUUAAAUACUGAACAGGUUACGAUUCUAACGACUAAGCGUCCGAGUAAAUGUUAUACCGCGACAUUUAUGCGCUUUCCUCUCUCAUCCGCCCAUGGUUACGCUUAAAAAACGUAAAACGUUUGAUUUGAAAUCUGUAUGCAAGGGCAGCAGUUUCACACGAAUCAUUUAAUCUUCUUUUACGUUUUUGCCUAUCUAUUUCGUUUCUUUCGUUUUCCCCCCCUCUUUCUUUCUUUCUUUUUUUUUUUUAUCUGUUUUGUGUGUGCUUGUUUUUUUUUUUAACACAGUUGCAUACGGCUCGCAAUUACCUCGCGCUUUCUUACGAUUCACGGGUGAAGAACGUCGUGUUUUCUUUUUCUUUUCCUUUUUUUUUUCUUAUUUUUUUUUAUUUUUUUUUAUUUUUUGGCUAGACACGGAAAUCAUCGGACGAACCCUAACUCGUUUUGCAAUUGUACAAAUCUCUGUUUCUUUAUUUAUUUAUUUAUUUUUUUUUCAUUUUCUCACUUUUUUUUUCUUUCUUCUUCUUCGCUUUCUUCUUACUAACGUGUCGUUCGCAUAUUGAGCGAUUAGUUUAUUACAUUAUUCAUUAAUAAGUACACGUGCCAAAAUGCACCCACUUACGCGUGUGAUGUCGAGAGCACUAAUCAAUUUAUAUGUAUAUACCUCGUAAUCAUAGUAAUGGUAAUUAAUAAUAAUAAUUAUAUGAAUUAAUAAUGAGAAUAAAAUGUAGUUGUAAUAAUAAUUAUAUAUAGGCAAACCUUUGUUGUAGCGUUGUACUUAGCGUUAUUUAAAAUAGUAGCGUUACUCUUACGUGUACCGAGUACGGACAGAAAAUUGAUUUUUUUUUUUUUGUUUGUUAACUUCCUUUAUAUAUAUAUAUAUUUUUAUAUAUAUAUAUUAUAUAUAUAUAUAUAGUAAUAUGGAGGGAAUUUACUAACAACUUGCUCGAAAAGUGCAGCAUUCUCACGAACCUAUAAACAAAUAUAAAAAAUUUCCUCUUUUUAAAAUCUUUUUGUUCCUUUUUUUUUUUCGUUUUUUCUUUCAUCUUUUUCUCGCUCCCCCCCCCCCUCCCCCUUUUUUCCACAUUUUGUCAUUCCUCUUUCGUUCAUCGUGGUACAUUUCAACCAGGAUUACUCUUCUGCUUUGAUGUUUGUUGUUAGGGAUGUUAAUUUUACACGUUUGAAUCGCGAAUGAUCCAAAAUAUCCGUUCGAAUCUCCCGCUUCUUCUCGUGCUCUUUAAAAGACUCAAAUUUGACAAAGAAAGGACAUCGUAUAUAUUGGAAAAAAGCAGAAUACAGUCGAAAUGUCACACGUAAAUAUGCCGUGCUUAUAUGUCACUUUCUGUUUUCUCCUUUUUUCUUUUUUUUUUUUAUUAUCUUUAUUAUUAUUAAUCUUUUCAUCUAUUUUCCUUUUCCUUUCCCUAACUCCAUCGUAGUGAAAAUAAGGUGUCGAUAAUACUCGGACUGUACAUUAAGUACAAUGUGUGAACAGGUUGCACGCGUGACAAGCUAUCUCCACGCGUGCGUGGAAAAAUUAACAUUAUCCAAAGCACCAGGCACGAUCCUCUUCCUCGUACACACGCUCAUACAUACACGCACGCAUGUAGCAAACGCGUCCACAUUGAUUCUUCUCUCUCUCUCUCUCUCUCUCGGUCUUUCACACUUUUCCAUCCACGUCCCUUUCCUUCUUCCUCUUAUCCUCCAUUUCUGUUCGCCUCGACGAGGCAAAUUUUUCUCCCCCUUGACACACGAACGAAACGACACGAACAACCAUGCAAAUAAGCACGCUCAUAACGAAUAGUAGCGAUAUAAUAAUACCAUCAUUGUUUUUAACACGUUGUUGCACACGUAACAUUGUUCUAUGCGUGUAUAAAUUGUACGAUUAACGAGCCACGGCGUGCACGAUACGAGAACCGACACUGAAGAAACGUUCAUAAUAAAUCCCUUAUUACAACGUUAUACAUGUCGCGGCACAUCUUCUUUUUAUUUUUUCCUCCUUUGUUUGUUUGUUUGUUUGUUUGUUUGUUUGCUUGUUUCGCAAGAGUGAUUGAUCGCUAGAACGACGGCAUCAUGCACUUAUUACUUUACACCUACCACGUAGACAGUAUCGUAACAUGAUUUCUUUUUGUUUUUUUUCUCUUUCUUUUUCCUUUUUUUUUUUUUCAUUUUAAGUGUUAAAUUCACAGUGACAUCUAAGGAAUUCGGGGAUUUCGUCGAUAAUCCGCCACGUUGUUUUCGCCACGAUUCUUGACUAGAAGCAUCCUGAGACGUAGAAAACUUCUCUACUCCUAUCUCGAUUCCGUUUUUUUUUCUUUUUUUUUUUUUUGUAUUAUUGUUGAUUAUUAAGUACGUUUUCCCGGACAGAAAAUGGCAGAAGAAUUGUGUAAAAAUUAAGUAUCGAACUCGCGAGAUAUGUUGACGUGGCCGGAUUAACGACGUAACCGCAGAAACUCUCGCUCAUUUAGUUAUUCUCAUUUACACGGCGCGCCCCCAUUUACACUUACACUUCGCCCUCUCCUAUUCUUUCUCGUCCCCUCUCCCCCCUUGCCAUUCAUUCUUUCGCCCACGAAGGUCAAUCUGAUCGAAAGAAUACCGAUCGAUUUUUCUCAUUCGAAGGGAAACACAUCGAGAUCUACCGAGAGUUUUGUCUAACAAGCGUGCGCGUGAAAGGAAGGACUCAUCGUCGUUGAUUCGCUUCACUUGCGAAACUGGCAUGAUCGCUACGUGAUCAACGACACCAACGACGAUAUUCGCGUCGAUCGAAUCAAUUGAAAGCAGCUGUGCACGCGCGCGUUCCUCUUUAAUCCCGGUAUACAGCGAUGUAUACCGGUGUUGUUCAAAAAAAAAAAAAAAGAAAGAGCGACUAGCAUUUCGUGAUACAACGAAACGACGAGUAUAGACGAGAGUCGCAUGGAUCGUAUUAUCAUUUCUCGAACAAUCCUUCCUCACAUUUCUUUUCUUCUUUUGACGAUUUGUUUCGAUUCGACCUUGAUCUUUCUACGAUUCCUUCUUCUCGUUCAUGAUAUUUUUCUUCUCUUUUUUCUCAAGAAACGAAGAACCUUCCCUCCCCCUUCCUCGUUCGAAUCAUCAUACGCGGCGACACGUUCACACACGACCAUAACGUCGAUCCCAACGAAUUCGGAUAAAUCCACGUGAUUCAGACUCAGACUCGUUUUUCGUUUUUUUUUUUCUUUUUCUUUUUUUUAAAGCCUAUUUAAUAAUUCUUUCGUUCUCUGCUCUGAUUAAUUAUACAUCGCGUGCGAAAAUACCAAGAAAUAUCCUCGCAAAAAGUUAAGCUGGACGGCUUUGAUCAAAAAUUAGGAUCUCUUUCGAAGGACGUGAUUAUCGGGAGAAUAGGAAGUGUUUGCGGGACGUGUAUGAUAUUG
RNAcentral lists this long non-coding RNA (4585 nucleotides) under Apis florea (little honeybee). RNAcentral's name for it is "uncharacterized LOC116414443". Lineage: Eukaryota; Metazoa; Arthropoda; Insecta; Hymenoptera; Apidae. The record is from RNAcentral.